RNAcentral lists this long non-coding RNA (738 nucleotides) under Homo sapiens (human). RNAcentral describes it as "HSALNT0396595". Lineage: Eukaryota; Metazoa; Chordata; Mammalia; Primates; Hominidae. The record is from RNAcentral.
CUUGGGGUUAGUACAUCACUGGCCUGCGUGCUCCGCUCCAGGAGGUCUCGGUGAUUCUGCCACAGCCUCAUCCUCCGUCGCCCUGUGACCUACUGGUAUUGGAACAUUCAUAGCUAAGACUCCAGGACACCCACAAAGCCGAGAAAUGCUGAGUUUGCGGGUCAGGGCGUCCGGAGACUGGGGAGGCCUCAUCGGAGUCGGCCGGAAAUGGCGGUGGCGGGACCGAGUCUGUGAGCCUGAGCCCCCCUCAGCUCAGCCCUCAGUCUCCUCUGGUGCAGGGUACCCAGGCGUCCUGUACCGUUUCAGCACAGCGGCUUUGGCCCCAGCCUGUAGCCCUCUUUGCGCAGCUCUGCGCCCGCAUCUUCCCCAGCUUGUGAGGUGAUGAGGAGAGGUUCACCAGGGAAAGACGCCGACUUGGUGUGCAGGGCUUCUGCGUGGAAGGAGCUCUGGUCUGUGGGGUCACCAGUCCCUACUUUAACCUAUUCAGACAUAAACGGAGGCACCAUUAAAACAUUAAAGAAUUUAUAUGAGCAAACAGUGAUGAACCAGUGGGACAGCCCCAGACAUGGUUUGUCGUUUGGGGGCUACCAGCGGGUCUUGAAGAAAAGGCUUUAAGGCAGCUGAGGCUUGCCCUGUGGAGCAUCCCUGCGGGGGACUCUGGCCAGCUUGAGCAACAUGGAUCCUGAGAGCGCUCCCAGAUAGGCAUUUGCCCUGGUGGAAUGCCUUGUUAGAGCGGUG